AAAUUGAAGAGUUUGAUCAUGGCUCAGAUUGAACGCUGGCGGCAGGCCUAACACAUGCAAGUCGAACGGUAACAGGAAGCAGCUUGGCUGCUUUGCUGACGAGUGGCGGACGGGUGAGUAAUGUCUGGGAAACUGCCUGAUGGAGGGGG
Molecule: ribosomal RNA, 149 nt
Filed under: Salmonella enterica subsp. enterica serovar Typhi
Lineage: Bacteria; Pseudomonadati; Pseudomonadota; Gammaproteobacteria; Enterobacterales; Enterobacteriaceae
Also listed under: 1 other name
Description: partial 16S ribosomal RNA
Rfam family: Bacterial small subunit ribosomal RNA
Source: RNAcentral